This 132-nucleotide small RNA is filed under the name Escherichia coli. RNAcentral's name for it is "RtT sRNA". It matches the Rfam family "RtT RNA". From Rfam's summary of the family: This family represents a bacterial cis-regulatory element known as RtT RNA. The exact function of RtT is unknown although it is thought that it may be involved in changing the cellular response in relation to amino acid starvation. Lineage: Bacteria; Pseudomonadati; Pseudomonadota; Gammaproteobacteria; Enterobacterales; Enterobacteriaceae. The record is from RNAcentral.
AUUCUGCCCAUGCGGGGAAGGAUGAGAAGCUUCGACCAAGGUUCGACUCGAGCGCCAGCGAGAGAGCGUGGCCGCAGCAAACGACCCGAAGGGCGAAGCGCGCAGCGCUGAGUAAUCCUUCCCCCACCACCA